UGCAUUUAUCACCAUAUUGUGAUAAAUGCUUUUAAUACCAGUGCAAGAGCGAUAACUCGUGCGUUCUUGGUAGUGGUUAAACAUUAUUGAGACCAUGAGUUUUAAAUAGAGGACGCAAUAUAAUCAAGCACCUUAUGACCCCGAUUUUCAUAGUCUACCGAAAAAGCUAGAAGGGCAGGCAUGUUGCAAAAUUUCAUCUCUAGUCUGCACACUUUGGAAGGAAAAUGUUUUGACCCACCGUUCAGCAAAAUUAUUUCCAUUUUUGUGCAUUAUUCUGUUCCAAGGAUACGGUUUAUAGACACUGUAAGUAAUUUAUGCGAACAAUAACAUGAUGCCCCUAAUUAUAAAGGCUUGAAUUUAUGAUCGUUGCACUUUGUGGUAUCUGUGACUGUACAUCACGCGCUGAUGCUGUGGAUAGAAUGACAUUGAAAGUCCUUAUUCUUGGGCAUUCAUUUAUACGCAGAUUUGAGAACUUUGUUUGUAUCAACUAGUUCUGACCAUCGGGUGACGCCGAAUUUAAAUCUUAAUUCAGAGGAGCUACAGAUUUUCUAUUUAGGUUAUGGGGGAGCGUCACUGGCUCAAAUUCGUGCGCAAGGCACUCGUUACGUAAGAUACUUGCAUCCAGAUGUUGUUUUGUUACAAGCUGUAUCAAACGAUUUGUGUCGGAGAAACACAUCAGUGGAAGACAUUUUUCAUGAACUUGUGGACUUUGUAAUUUAACUCCGUGAUACGGAAGAUGUGUAAAAAAGUAGUGGUGCUUCAGACAUUGCAUAGAAUUCCCCCGACAAGACGUAUCAGGUUUCAUGUGGACACAGAGUGCAAGAGAGUUGUUGAAUUAAAUAGACGCAUGUCCUAUUACUUGCAGAAGGUAGAGGGAGCAGCAUUCUUUCGCCUAUCUGGUUUAUCAUAGGAUGGUAUUUCUGGUGGAUGGGGUCCAUUUGAAUAAUCAGGGAAAUAAGGAAUAUUAUAAUAAUUUGAGAGCUGUUAUUGUUUCCUUGAUAAAGUCUAUCAAUAAUGGAAAAUUGGGAGACACUAUUUGUAAACAUAUGCUAGAUAUUUUGCACUAGGUUUGUGUUGAACGUGGAAUAUCUAAUGACAAGACAACUCUCAUCAGGUUUGACUCUAAGGGAUAGAAUGGAGACAGUUAUAUCUAUGCUUAUGUUUUACCUCAAGAUACAUUGACUGAGCUAUGUAACAAUUCCAGGAUAGGUGUCUAGAAUGCUAAACACAAAUUAAGUAAAAAUAACUAAAAAUAAAGUAGAUGAAGUUAUGUAGCUGAUUUUCGUAAUCGAAUAUCCACCUCCCAGCCAAGAGGGAUAACUCUUUAAAAAAAAAAAAAAAAAAAAAAAAAAAAAAGAUUAUUUAAUCAAAAAGACUCAAAUUAAGCUUGAAAUUCAAUCUUUUCGUGCAACAAUUUUUAUUCACGCAACUCAAGUUCUUCGUAGUCUAGAAACUGGGAAAAGUUGACAUUUGUGUCCCAUAAAAGUAUUUAAAAAUCUUUAGAUAAAUCGAAUUCCUUCAAGCUUGCUUUGUUAACCAUGAUAUGAAAUUUGAAGUGAUAUUUGAUGUCUUCCAACGAUAGCACAUGCUUUACACUACAGGUAUGUGUUAUAUAAUGAUUGGAAAAAAAUAUAAGAAAAAUGCCAUUAUGAUAUGAGUAUUAAUAACAUGCAAUUUUUUACAAAUUCCGGGAUACCUAUAAAUGUUUAUUCAGGUACCUUUGGCUAACAACAGGAUAUUAUUACAUACUGACAAGCAAUCGGUCGUGCAAAUAGUCAAUUCUGCUAAAGUCAGACUAUUGGUUAGAAACUUGUAAUUAAUAUCACUUAUUUCACUAUUAUAUUUAAGCAGAGUUCAUUACUUAGUUAUUAUAUCAAAUUAAAUUGCAGAUUCUAUUUUACAUUGACAGUGGCUUCAUUUUUGGGCUUUGGGUCCUCGUGCAUCUCAGGUCAAUAUUGGAAACGAUAAGUUUCAAUAAUUGAUUCACACCUUUUCAACAAUGUCACAUUGGCAUCAUUAAGCUAGAUUGAUGAACAAAUCAUUAACAAUAGAGUCUGAACUUGGUACACCUAGCCAUGGCCAAUUUUUGGUACAUUUCAAUGGUAAUCCCCUAACGACUAACGUGUUAUUAGUUAUCAAACCCUAAUUGCAAUACUAUUCAUUUCUGUAACAUAAACAAAUACUGUUUUAGAUCACACUCUUUUCAGCAGCAGUAUUAUAGGGCAUUCCUGAACAAAUUAUUAAACAAUUGGGCGGGUGGAAUCCAUAACUAUACAUGCCUCAAACAUUGGUGUGAGAUUUGUAUAAUUAAAAUAUUAUAGCUCAAUUUCAAUUUUGGCUUAAACGUAUUAUACAUCUAUCCAUAUAAAAAUUUUAGUUUUUGUAGAUUGUGUGUAGUCUGGGAUAUGGCAUUCAUAGGAUACUGAGCUACCCAAAGUGACAUCAUUGGUCCUUGAGGAAAAAGCCCUCAAUUUGAUUUUUUAAAAAAAUGGGUUUGGAGUCAGGGAAAUUAGAUUGAAGGAAUUUGACUCUUUGAUUUAGAAUAAAUUAAAAUGCACUUGGGUGGUACAUUAAGGUUUCAAGGACCGGGGCACCUCGCCUGGAUCAUUAUUGUUUCAUAGUAUGGAAUGUUCCUGCUUAUGCUGCAAGUUAUUAGUCCGAAGUAUGUCAAUUAUUUGGUCCGAUAUAAGUUUAAUUCAAGAUGAGUCUUGAUUUAUUAAAUGGAACAGCUAACAAGUGUCUAUUAUACAUGAACACUUAUAAAAUUUGAAAUUUAAAGGUCAGGUGGGUGAAAUGGAAUGAAUUAAAAAUUAACAUGUAUACACCAAACUCGUUAGUGGCGGGUGAACUUGUAUAGACAAGUUCAUUUGGCGGAAUUCGGGGAUUACCACGAAUGAGGAAUUCUCUCAUGUCUGGCUCAAAACUCUGGGUAAUCUAUCCUCAGUACUGGGGAGGAUUAAUUUGGGGUUACCUCAGCGGUACCUGAGGGACCAGCUUGAUCUUUGUGGGUACCAAAGGCAAGUUUUGGGGCCUACCCCUGGGGGUAUUAUCCCCAUGUUGUUGUUGUAUUCCAGGGGAGGCAGGUAUAGAGUUAGGGCCCGAGUCAGAACUUGAAUUCAUUCAUUUGAUGUGGCACUCACUCUUGUUGGUACCAAGAGGUCUGUUCCCACCACAGUCACCUGUGGGGGCGCUAUCGCGCCAAGGAUCUAGGGAGGUCAUCCCGGUAGGCAGGUAGUGAUUCCCUGGGUUCCGCCGGGGUAUUUACAUCUAUGUAUAAAUAGAUUGUGACAAAUAGUCGCCACAAAAUGUAAUCAUUGUUUCACAAUAAAUGUGUAAAAUUAAUAUUUGUUACUAUUCAUUGCAUCUGGGAUUAAUUGCAUUUAUCACCAUAUUGUGAUAAAUGCUUUUAAUACCAGUGCAAGAGCGAUAACUCGUGCGUUCUUGGUAGUGGUUAAACAUUAUUGAGACCAUGAGUUUUAAAUAGAGGACGCAAUAUAAUCAAGCACCUUAUGACCCCGAUUUUCAUAGUCUACCGAAAAAGCUAGAAGGGCAGGCAUGUUGCAAAAUUUCACCCACCCACCCUUCCCUAAAAUAUGUGUACAGAUUUUUGCUGCUUUCUCUUCUGUAAUUUCAGUGACAGAAGCCUAUUCUUACAUGGAAAGAGAUGUGUAUGUGGAACAACCUAGCGGUUGUAUCAUUAGCAAAGAAAGGAUGUGGUCAUUAUGUAUAUGGUGGGACCAUUUGGUGUCAAUUGGUCAUUUUCGGUUGAAAUCAAUGUAAAUGAUUCAACCCUGAGUUUUAUUGGACAUUUCUAUGGUGUGAUACAUAAUCAGUACUUCAGUGAAAUUGGUGAUCAUUGAUGAUUAUGUGUUUACGUACAGUGUUACUGUACAGUGUUACUUUUAAUAAGUAUUGUAAGCAAGUAUAGCUUGUAAAUAUAUAUUGAGAAUUUUCUUGCUUUGGGAUUAUGGUAAAGUUUCUUAAGUCACAAUCUGGGAUGGGGGCGGCGGAAUUCGGGGAUUACCACGAAUGAGGAAUUCUCUCAUGUCUGGCUCAAAACUCUGGGUAAUCUAUCCUCAGUACUGGGGAGGAUUAAUUUCGGGUUACCUCAGCGGUACCUGAGGGACCAGCUUGAUCUUUGUGGGUACCAAAGGCAAGUUUUGGGGCCUACCCCUGGGGGUAUUAUCCCCAUGUUGUUGUUGUAUUCCAGGGGAGGCAGGUAUAGAGUUAGGGCCCGAGUCAGAACUUGAAUUCAUUCAUUUGAUGUGGCACUCACUCUUGUUGGUACCAAGAGGUCUGUUCCCACCACAGUCACCUGUGGGGGCGCUAUCGCGCCAAGGAUCUAGGGAGGUCAUCCCGGUAGGCAGGUAGUGAUUCCCUGGGUUCCGCCGGGGUAUUUACAUCUAUGUAUAAAUAGAUUGUGACAAAUAGUCGCCACAAAAUGUAAUCAUUGUUUCACAAUAAAUGUGUAAAAUUAA
Molecule: long non-coding RNA, 4478 nt
Organism: Saccostrea echinata
Lineage: Eukaryota; Metazoa; Mollusca; Bivalvia; Ostreida; Ostreidae
Exons: 2
Source: RefSeq, a predicted model, not a curated record